Molecule: long non-coding RNA, 899 nt
Organism: Lycium ferocissimum
Lineage: Eukaryota; Viridiplantae; Streptophyta; Magnoliopsida; Solanales; Solanaceae
Exons: 3
Source: RefSeq, a predicted model, not a curated record
AAAAGAUAUAUAUUGAGCCCUAAUUGUUAUUAGGAAAAAUGCGAAUUCGAAUUUUUCUGAAAAAAUGCAAAUGCACAUUCACUUUCCCCAUUUUCACAUACACGUCCCCCACUUCUCACUUUUGAGAAGUACAUUCUAAUUUUCUAAUCACAACUGCUCAUUGCACUUUCUCCUAUUAAAAAAAGAAAAAGAAUGAAGAUACUUGGCGAGUGCAUGCAGAGUCAGGACUGGGACUUCUCCUUUUUAAAAUUUAAUUUGUGAGUUUUGGUGGGUGUGGCUGGGAAGAUGUUCAUAGAUUCGUGUGAACCAAAAUCAUAUACUGAUUUUGAAACUAUUGCCGAUGGCAUUUUCGUGAGUUUUCUUUCUUCUACACCCUAAUUAUUGCCUCAUUUUCUAUUUGCUUCUUGUCUUUAUCUUGAUCUUGGAUGUUGGAUCAGAUUUAGAAGUCACACGUGUGGAAGGUUUAAAUUUGUGGCACAACAACGUAACUCUGCUGAGAUUAAUGAUGAGCUAUUCAAAGAAUUCAGAGAAGGAAAUAUAGAGGGGAAACUACAUGAAGUUUUGGCAGGUAUAUACUAGAUAUGGAGAUCCAGUUCCUUACUGGCAGGACUUGGCAACUUUUGUCCGUAAGGAAGGCUCCUAUGGUAUGUUUAAUGUUUCAUCUUUUUUCCAAGAAAGUUUGUUUUGUGUGUGUGUGUAUAUAUAUAUAAUUUUUUUAUUUUUUUUAUAGUAUCAUGAAGGAACAACUUUUGGCAGGUUUAAAGUUUUGAUUUAUUUACCGCUUGUCAUGGUUCCUCCCACUUUGAUUUCUAUCAACAAUCUCAUGUCAUAAUUAAAUAAGAUUAAGUGUGCACGUUUCUUAUAUUUUACUUUUUGAUGAAAUAAUUUUAGUUUGGUUU